This is a long non-coding RNA of Hippocampus zosterae (dwarf seahorse), 945 nucleotides long. RefSeq lists it as uncharacterized. NCBI's taxonomy places the organism in Eukaryota, Metazoa, Chordata, Actinopteri, Syngnathiformes, Syngnathidae. The record is from RefSeq and is a predicted model, not a curated record. The transcript is spliced from 4 exons.
AAAUUUACAGAGGCUUCAUUCCGUGCAAAGAAUACCGACGUUGGCGCGAUUUAAUUCAUUCAUUCGUUCAUUCAUUUACCGAUCCGCUUUAUCCUCACAAGGCGUGAUUUCAAUAUAUUGGAAAUUAAUUACGAUGUCAGUGCAACGUUUUCGGAACACGUGACGCGUGUGCGCUUGCGCGUGUUGUGACUCUACAAACCGGGCAAACUGGUUGGAAAAGAAACCACCAACUGCAGAAAUUAUAAUAUGAGAUGCCUUGGCCUGUCAAACUGCACAACCUUUUUGUAGUUUUGUUCGUUCUUGGACCGAUGUCACACUACAAACACGUCACUGACCAGACACUCCCCAAUAGUUUGUGAGCUUUCGUCAAGAUGUCGUCAUGUCGACUGAGGCAUUAUAUUUCAUGUGCGUUUGUUUUCCCUUCAGAAAUGGCAAAACAAAGAAGACAGUAUGGACCCGUUCCUGAUGAGAGGGCGGAAUGGACUGUCUUAUCCUCCCAAAAUAACUUGAGCCCGUCGAUGUCCACCCUGCAGCAGUACGGCCCGCUGUCACUCCGCCUCACGUCUGCGAUGUCGAGGUCCAUUUGUCCUUCGAGGACGUCUCCCGUCAGCCGGUAGCGAUCGUCCGUCUGCAGCAGGAUCACACAGACCUUCGAUCAAGCCUUCACCUUGGAGAUAACACCUUUCUCAUCAGUCUGGAUCAGGAUGUUGCUGCACCAGAGGGUCCCGCAGCCGCGGCCCCAGCACACCCGACUCAAGCCGAAACGUUUCACCGAGUAUUGACAGGAGAGGGAGGCCACGCCACCUUCGGUCACUUUAAAACAGGAAACGUGAGCAACGCCACCUGCGGCUUGCAGGUGGGCUGGAUCCCAGCUGACUUUGGGCAAGAGGCUGACUACACUCUGGACUGGUUGCCAGCGCACUUAUAUUCACAACAAUGGACAAU